GAAUAAUCGAGCUGCACUGACAAUCGGUUCCUUUUUUCAGAUGAUAGGGACGAUGCUUCUAAUGAUUUUGACAUGAUAUAGAUAGGUAAGUAGAGUCUUUUUUUUUUCUUUAGCCGAGGAUCUAUUGGAAACAGUCUCUCAGCCCAUCCAUGGUAGGGGUAGGGCUGCGUACAUCUCACCCUCCCUAGACCCCACUUGUGGGAAUACACUGGGUCGUUGUUGUUGUUGUUGUUGUUGUUGUUGUAUAGAGAGGUAAGCACGGGUUUGUCAUCGCUAUAAAUCAGUAUUUUAUUUACCAGUUAAAUGUCUGUAUAUCUCCAAUCGCAGAAAAUGCUGAGACCAUAAUUAAGUCAAAAUUUUGACUUUCUGGAAUAGUUAUGGGAACCAUGUCCUGAGCAUAUGUUCCACUUUUUAAAUGAGAGGACUCUUUCAAUAUGUAAAAUAUUUGAACAUUCCAAGUACAAUGUAUAUGGUGGAAAUUUCAUUCAUUUGUCUUUAUGAGGUUUCCUUUCCGCAGAGGGAGAGGGAGAGGUUGGGCAACAGGGCGGCAAGAGAUGCUCCAGUGUUGGAACUUGUAGAUUGCUGCUAUGUUCUUGUUACCGUUGAUUUUUUCUCCAGCUCCAUGAAUGGAUUGUACUUUGUGCAUUAUAUAUGUCAUAUCAAAUUGAAGUAUGAUGUUAAAUAUCCAUGUUCCAUGCUUAAAGUAAUAGAUCUCACUUGUAGUUAUUCCCAAUUUCGUGACAACUUUUAAGAGUAGUUUAAAGUAUGAUCUGAAUUGUUCAGCUCGAGUCAAAAUGUUAUAGUAUUGGUGCUACUUCUAGGUUAGCUCCCUCGAUUUGAUAGAUUUUGCUAACUUUUUGUGAAGCCUGCAG
Molecule: long non-coding RNA, 872 nt
Filed under: Nicotiana benthamiana
Lineage: Eukaryota; Viridiplantae; Streptophyta; Magnoliopsida; Solanales; Solanaceae
Description: long non-coding RNA (NBEN_LNC013660)
Source: RNAcentral